Molecule: long non-coding RNA, 318 nt
Organism: Adelges cooleyi (spruce gall adelgid)
Lineage: Eukaryota; Metazoa; Arthropoda; Insecta; Hemiptera; Adelgidae
Exons: 3
Source: RefSeq, a predicted model, not a curated record
UUGUUAUGUAUGAAAAAUAAAAAUAAAAAUGUUAAACGUAUAAGUAUUUUAAAAUUUUAUAUUUUGGUUACAGCUGAUGUAACUCCGACGAGCGAAGAAAAUUGUGUAGAGCAUGGAGAAUUACUAAAAAAUCUGGAAAAACGAAGAAGAAUGAUGACUAUGAAAUCUACAGCGUUAUUAAUCCAUCAUGUAAAAACUGGAGAGAAUGCACGAUUCGGACAAUUUUCUGAUAUAUGUAAUUUAAUAGGAUUAUACAAAAGUAUGGAGUACCCAAAAAAAUUUAUAAGACAAGCUAAAGUCGAUAGAUAUGGAGUUUGU